UACGUAGGGGGCCAGCGUUGUCCGGAAUUAUUGGGCGUAAAGAGCUUGUAGGCGGUCUGUCGCGUCUGCUGUGAAAAUCCGGGGCUCAACCCCGGACUUGCAGUGGGUACGGGCAGACUAGAGUGUGGUAGGGGAGACUGGAAUUCCUGGUGUAGCGGUGAAAUGCGCAGAUAUCAGGAGGAACACCGAUGGCGAAGGCAGGUCUCUGGGCCACUACUGACGCUGAGAAGCGAAAGCAUGGGGAGCGAACAGG
Molecule: ribosomal RNA, 253 nt
Filed under: uncultured bacterium
Lineage: Bacteria
Description: partial 16S ribosomal RNA
Rfam family: Bacterial small subunit ribosomal RNA
Source: RNAcentral